This 328-nucleotide ribosomal RNA is filed under the name uncultured myxomycete. Its description in RNAcentral is "bacterial SSU rRNA". It matches the Rfam family "Eukaryotic small subunit ribosomal RNA", at positions 80 to 365 of the family's 1831-position model. Lineage: Eukaryota; Evosea; Eumycetozoa. The record is from RNAcentral.
UCUGAAUCUGCGNACGGCUCCGCAAACCAGUUGUAAACUAUAGCAAGCAAGCUCGUGCCCUUCACCGGGUGCGGGCAACACGGAUAACCCUGGUAAUUCUGAGGCUAAUACGAGAUCGUACUCCCUGGCUGACCGGGCAACUGGAAGGCUGGGAGGUGUGUGAUUUAGCACGAGGAAUCUGCUGGGAAUAGACACAUGCCUGGACCGCGCCAAAAACAGAUGGGGCUUCCCGCAAGGGUCGUCCUGCCUGAGCGGCUCUUGCUUUGUGCUUCUGACCUAUCAACUAGAUGGCAGCGUAACGGACAUGCUAUGGUGACAACGGGUACAG